This 374-nucleotide ribosomal RNA is filed under the name uncultured organism. RNAcentral's name for it is "bacterial SSU rRNA". It matches the Rfam family "Bacterial small subunit ribosomal RNA", at positions 526 to 896 of the family's 1533-position model. The record is from RNAcentral.
CGAAGGGGGCUAGCGUUGUUCGGAAUUACUGGGCGUAAAGAGCUCGUAGGCGGUUCGAUAAGUCGGGUGUGAAACCUCCAGGCUCAACCUGGAGACGCCACCCGAUACUGUCGUGACUAGAGUCCAGUAGGGGAGCGUGGAAUUCCUGGUGUAGCGGUGAAAUGCGCAGAUAUCAGGAGGAACACCAGCGGCGAAGGCGGCGCUCUGGGCUGGAACUGACGCUGAGGAGCGAAAGCGUGGGGAGCGAACAGGAUUAGAUACCCUGGUAGUCCACGCCGUAAACGUUGGGUACUAGGUGUGGAGUCUUAUCAACGGAUUCCGUGCCGAAGCUAACGCAUUAAGUACCCCGCCUGGGGAGUACGGCCGCAAGGCUA